This 466-nucleotide ribosomal RNA is filed under the name uncultured bacterium. RNAcentral describes it as "partial 16S ribosomal RNA". It matches the Rfam family "Bacterial small subunit ribosomal RNA", at positions 28 to 507 of the family's 1533-position model. The record is from RNAcentral.
GAUGAACGCUGGCGGCGUGCUUAACACAUGCAAGUCGAACGAUGAAGCCCAGCUUGCUGGGUGGAUUAGUGGCGAACGGGUGAGUAACACGUGAGUAACCUGCCCUUAACUCUGGGAUAAGCCUGGGAAACUGGGUCUAAUACCGGAUAGGAGCGCCUACCGCAUGGUGGGUGUUGGAAAGAUUUAUCGGUUUUGGAUGGACUCGCGGCCUAUCAGCUUGUUGGUGAGGUAAUGGCUCACCAAGGCGACGACGGGUAGCCGGCCUGAGAGGGUGACCGGCCACACUGGGACUGAGACACGGCCCAGACUCCUACGUGAGGCAGCAGUGGGGAAUAUUGCACAAUGGGCGAAAGCCUGAUGCAGCGACGCCGCGUGAGGGAUGACGGCCUUCGGGUUGUAAACCUCUUUCAGUAGGGAAGAAGCGAAAGUGACGGUACCUGCAGAAGAAGCACCGGCUAACUACGUG